AAAUUAUUGAUUAAAACAGAAAACAGAAAAACAAGAGAGCUUGGUAUUUAAGAUAAAUAUAAUUAGUCCCCAAUUCCCGAACCCUACAACAUUACCUCUGUCUUUUUCCAGUUAAAACCCCUGCACUCCACUGCCGGCUGCCGCUUCUCGCCGUCAGUUGUCAGCGAUCAGGUUUGUUCUUGCCUUGUGUACUUUGUAUAUUAUCUCGAUCUACCAAAAUUCAUGGCCCAAUUUUGUCACCCAAACUUUAGCUUCAUUACUGACCCAAAUUCUUGUCGAUAUCCGAUGCCUCAACUGAAAAAUAUGGUAAUUGAUGGUAUAUAUUUCACACUGAGUUUGAAAAAUUGGACUAUCCUUAAGUUUGUUAUUAGAAUUUGAUUACCAACAUAGGUCGUCGAAAUUGAGUGUUUCUUUAGGUUAAUACUAUGAAAUUCUAUUACGUUUAUCUUCAUUCUUAAUCUACAAAUUAUCUCUGUUUGUUUGGAUUGGUUUUUUCUUACCAUAUGAUAUGUUACACUUUUUAAAAUUAUAAUUUAGUUAAAAACUAUUUUGAUUUUAAAACUCUUCAAAGUAAAUCAAUCCAAAUAGGCUAACUUGCUUUUUGACGAUUAAUCAUGUUUGGGUUGCAUUAACUUUUGACUUGCAAAAGUUCUAACUUAUGAUUUUAGACUUUAGAAACACAUCAUAUAAGUCAAUUUAAACACGCUCGAUGUUUGAAGUUUCCUUUUUGAUUAUACAAUUCAAAACUUGAGUUUAAUUCAGUUUCUACUAGUUUAAUAUAUUUUUUGAUUAAAUUUUAAUAUUGUAAUACUUCUAUAAUUUUAAAAAUUAAAAGAGAUAUUAACAUACAUUAGUGUUUUAACAUAUUUAUAAAAAUAACUUAAAUACACAAGUAUAAGUCUAAUUUUUCCUUUUUUUAUAUAUUACAUAAUUUCCUUUUUUUUAAAUUUUAAUAGAAGUUUAGAGAUAUAUAAUCUUCUCUCUCCUAUAACACACACUUCCCCAAUAUCAUUCCUAUUUUUUAUCUACUAAAACACUCAAUUUUCUGAAUCACUUUUUAAAUUUUGAAUUAUUACUUUUAAUUAAACACGUUUCACAAUAUUUAAUAUGCAAUUUUGAAUUUCAAAAUUCAAAAAUUGCAACAAUUUCAAAUACUCGUGAUACAUAGAAAGAAGUAUAAAAAAGACAUGCCCCGAAGCAAUGUCGGCCAGACAAUAAUGGUUGCUGAUGCUUUUCUCUUUUUUGGUGUAUUUUAGCAACCUUUGAUUUAGAUGAUUCCCCAAUAUCUUUGUUUGAAUCCUUCCGAACAUUCAUAUGAUCAUGUAAAGAUUUUUUUCUAUUUUCAUCGUCCGAAUCAUAAAUUCUCCUAUUCGUAAAAGGAUACAUUAAUAUAAUGUAAUAGAACGAUGAACAAGAAGAAAAGAAGAAGAACGGAUGAUGGAGUAAGAAGAAGAACCAGAGACGGAUGAUGAGUAAGAAGAACCAGAGAACAAUGGUAGUUUCAAUUUUUAGAAAUUUCAGAUUUUUGAAAUUCAAAAUUGCAUAUUAAAUAUUGUGAAACGUGUUUAAUUAAAAGUAAUAAUUCAAAAUUUAAAAAGUGAUUUAAAAGAUUAAGUGCUUUAGUGGAGAAAAAAUAGGCAUGAUAUUGAAAAAACGUGUGUUAUAGGAGAGAGAAGACUAUGUAUCUCUAAACUUCUAUUAAAAUUAAAAAAAAAAGAAUUAUGUAAUAUUUAAAAAAAGAAGAAAAAAUUAGAGAAUACUAAACUUAUAGUUGUGUAUUUAAGUUAUUUUUCUUUACGAUGAUUUUUCUUAAAUUAAAAUCACAAAAAUAAAAUACCUGUCGUUGCUUAAAUUGACUCGUCUCUUUUUUUCAUUAAUUAUAUCAUGAGAUCUGUUCCCAACUUCCAAGAAGAACAAAUGAAAUCUCAAUGCUACAUUAACAAGAGAAAAAAAAAUGAAAAUAGAAGUAAGGCGGAUAUAAAUAUAUGUUGAAAAAAAACAUAAAUAUGAUCACUAUGAAUUGAUGGUUUAUCCAGUAAUAAAAUUUAAGUUUUUUUCCUCGUGCAUUAAUAACACAAGUUUGGUGCAAGGUGGGAGUGUGCUGGGAGGGGAAAAAUUUUCAACACUUCAAUUUCAAAAGUGUAGGUUAAAAUUUUAAAAUAACAUGUUAAUGUCCCCAAUGCACGUCCUGGUGAGUUUUAAAUUUUUCAUUGGGAGUAGGUUCAACAUGAGAUAUUCUGACAAUAAAAAUUUGUGUUACAUGUUCAACAUGAGAUCCAUAUAAGAUAAAACGAAAAGCCUGAUGUUCAUAGCACAAAGAAUACUAUACAAAUUUCUUCAGUACAAGUAACCAUCUGAAAAGGAGAUGUUUGUUUUCCUCAUUAAGCUGAUUGAAUUUAG
This 2400-nucleotide long non-coding RNA is filed under the name Solanum lycopersicum (tomato). RNAcentral describes it as "long non-coding RNA (SLYC_LNC001213)". Lineage: Eukaryota; Viridiplantae; Streptophyta; Magnoliopsida; Solanales; Solanaceae. The record is from RNAcentral.